RNAcentral lists this ribosomal RNA (592 nucleotides) under uncultured Pseudozyma. RNAcentral's name for it is "LSU rRNA". It matches the Rfam family "Eukaryotic large subunit ribosomal RNA", at positions 81 to 657 of the family's 3401-position model. Lineage: Eukaryota; Fungi; Basidiomycota; Ustilaginomycetes; Ustilaginales; Ustilaginaceae. The record is from RNAcentral.
UAGUACGGCGAGUGAAGAGGGAAGAGCCCAAGAUUGAAAGCUGGCGUCUUCGGCGUCCGCAUUGUAAUCUCAAGAAGUGUUUUCCGCUUCGGACCAAGCCUAAGUCCCCUGGAAAGGGGCAACAUAGAGGGUGAUAAUCCCGUACAUGGCUUGGAGCGCCCGAGGCUUUGUGGUACGCUUUCUAAGAGUCGAGUUGCUUGGGAAUGCAGCUCAAAAUGGGUGGUAAAUGCCAUCUAAGGCUAAAUAUUGGGGAGAGACCGAUAGCGAACAAGUACAGUGAUGGAAAGAUGAAAAGAACUUUGAAAAGAGAGUUAAACAGUACGUGAAACUGCCAAAAGGGAAGGGUAGGAGGUCAGAGAUGCGGCCUGGGAUUCAGCCUUGCUUUUGCUUGGUGUUUUUCCCAGAUUGCAGGCCAACGUCGGUUUUGGGCACUGGAGAAGGGUAGGAGGAACGUGGCACCCCUCGGGGUGUGUUAUAGCCUCCUACUGGAUACAGCGACCGAGACCGAGGACAGCAGCGUACUCGCAAGAGCGGGCCUUCUGGCACCUUUACGCUUAGGGCGUUGGCAUAAUGGCCCUCUACCACCCGUUGA